UUAGGCUUUUAGUCCUGAAACCAUUGUUUUCAAAUUUAUGUGGGGUGAUUAAAAGCCUUGGCAAAUUGACUUCACAGCCCAAUUUGUAAACAGAAUGUCAAUUUAUUAAAAGACAGAGGUGUCAAUGUGCUGCUUACUUAGAUGUGUGAUCUAUGUUAAACUCUACACUGUCCACCUCUUUCCAUUUGUACUGACCAUGGCUGUAAAGUAAUCCAGAAUCCAGCAGCCAAGAGCCCACAGAAGAGGGAGGUGUGGACAGCAGGGAGGCCAGGUUGGAAACUCAGCAACUGGGACUGGAGGUUGCCAGACUUACAAGUCCUCUCCAGUCAUCUCCAGGAUGAGAGGAAGGAAGGGCAGGGAGAAGACUCAUUGCCUCUGUGGACUGCACUCUCAAGAAAAAAAAUAGUGGGUACUUACCCAGUGGGCAAAGAUGCACAAGGACACAGUCUCUGUGGACCCUCCUUAGGACAGAGGAGAAUGGAGAAGGCUUCAGGGGUGAAUCUGAUGGAUUGUUUAUGUGUUCUGCCCAGGCCAGAAGAGGGUACCAGGUCGCAUUUCAGAUGGUUGUGAGUCACCAUGUGGUUGCUGGGAAUUGAACUCAGGACCUCUGGAAGAACAGCCAGUGCUCUUAACCUCUGAGCCACCUCUCCAGCCCAGAACUGCAGUUCUUAACCUGUGAGGGUUGUGUAUCAGAUAUGCUGCUUAUCAGGUGAAGGGACUGAGAAGUCCACCAUGAAGAUGCUGAUGUCUAGGGAGGUCUUCCUGCUGAGAAGUCCAACACGGAGAUGCUAAUGUGAAGAGAUGGCCUUCUUGCUGCACACACUAUACAAAGAGGCAUCACAUGGGGGAGGGGGAUGCCUGAGGGCAGCUCUCUGAGGCCACUAAUCUCAGACUGGUGGAUUUCUUUGAGUCCAUGGCCAGCCAUGAAUAUGGUCUCCAUGGUGAGUUUCAGACUAGCCAAGACUAC
RNAcentral lists this long non-coding RNA (967 nucleotides) under Cricetulus griseus (Chinese hamster). RNAcentral describes it as "lncRNA (ENSCGRG00015035216.1)". The record is from RNAcentral. Lineage: Eukaryota; Metazoa; Chordata; Mammalia; Rodentia; Cricetidae.